Molecule: non-coding RNA, 73 nt
Organism: Phrynosoma platyrhinos (Desert horned lizard)
Lineage: Eukaryota; Metazoa; Chordata; Lepidosauria; Squamata; Phrynosomatidae
Source: the annotation of a GenBank genome assembly
GGCCAGCAUGGCAUAGUAGUUUGAGUGUUGGACUUUGACUCCAUAAAUCAGGGUUCAAAUCCCAGUUGGGCCA